GGUUUGUGGCUCAGUGGUAGAGUGCUUGCCUAGAAUUCAUGAGGCACUGGCCUCGAUCCCUGGCACCA
This 68-nucleotide transfer RNA is filed under the name Marmota monax (woodchuck). RNAcentral's name for it is "tRNA.Ser". Lineage: Eukaryota; Metazoa; Chordata; Mammalia; Rodentia; Sciuridae. The record is from RNAcentral.